AUGCUUGCGAUGAGGCUGUGAUGCUAGUGAUGAUGCUUGUGAUGCUUGCGAUGAGGCUGUGAUGCCAGUGAUGAUGCUUGUGAUGCUUGCGAUGAGGCUGUGAUGCUAGUGAUGAUGCUUGUGAUGCUUGCGAUGAGGCUGUGAUGCCAGUGAUGAUGCUUGUGAUGCUUGUGAUGAGGUUGUGAUGCUUGUCAUGUUUGUAAUAAUCCAUAUUUGAGUAUGUUGGAGUAUGUUGUUUGUGUGGAGUAUGUUGGAGUAUGUCUAACUCCACUUGUAUGUGUAACUCCAUUUAAAUUUUUACUCCAAGUAUUUUUACUCCAU
This 321-nucleotide long non-coding RNA is filed under the name Triticum aestivum (bread wheat). RNAcentral describes it as "long non-coding RNA (TAES_LNC008994)". Lineage: Eukaryota; Viridiplantae; Streptophyta; Magnoliopsida; Poales; Poaceae. The record is from RNAcentral.